Molecule: ribosomal RNA, 340 nt
Filed under: Enterococcus dongliensis
Lineage: Bacteria; Bacillati; Bacillota; Bacilli; Lactobacillales; Enterococcaceae
Description: bacterial SSU rRNA
Rfam family: Bacterial small subunit ribosomal RNA
Source: RNAcentral
UGACCGAGCAACGCCGCGUGAGUGAAGAAGGUUUUCGGAUCGUAAAACUCUGUUGUUAGAGAAGAACAAGGAUGAGAGUAAAACGUUCAUCCCUUGACGGUAUCUAACCAGAAAGCCACGGCUAACUACGUGCCAGCAGCCGCGGUAAUACGUAGGUGGCAAGCGUUGUCCGGAUUUAUUGGGCGUAAAGCGAGCGCAGGCGGUUUCUUAAGUCUGAUGUGAAAGCCCCCGGCUCAACCGGGGAGGGUCAUUGGAAACUGGGAAACUUGAGUGCAGAAGAGGAGAGUGGAAUUCCAUGUGUAGCGGUGAAAUGCGUAGAUAUAUGGAGGAACACCAGUGG